GGGGUGCUCGAGUGGCGAACGGGUGAGUAACACGUGAGUAACCUGCCCUUGACUUUGGGAUAACUUCAGGAAACUGGGGCUAAUACCGGAUAGGAGCUCCUGCUGCAUGGUGGGGGGUGGAAAGUUUCGGCGGUUGGGGAUGGACUCGCGGCUUAUCAGCUUGUUGGUGGGGUAGUGGCUUACCAAGGCUUUGACGGGUAGCCGGCCUGAGAGGGUGACCGGCCACAUUGGGACUGAGAUACGGCCCAG
This 249-nucleotide ribosomal RNA is filed under the name uncultured Actinomycetales bacterium. Its description in RNAcentral is "partial 16S ribosomal RNA". It matches the Rfam family "Bacterial small subunit ribosomal RNA", at positions 84 to 334 of the family's 1533-position model. Lineage: Bacteria; Bacillati; Actinomycetota; Actinomycetes; Actinomycetales. The record is from RNAcentral.